CAGUCGCCGCGGGAAUACGGAGGGGGCUAGCGUUGUUCGGAAUUACUGGGCGUAAAGCGCACGUAGGCGGCUUGGUAAGUUAGAGGUGAAAGCCCGGAGCUCAACUCCGGAAUUGCCUUUAAGACUGCCGAGCUAGCAGGUGAGAGAGGUAAGUGGAAUUCCGAGUGUAGAGGUGAAAUUCGUAGAUAUUCGGAAGAACACCAGUGGCGAAGGCGGCUUACUGGCUCAUACUGGACGCUGAGGUGCGAAAGCGUGGGGAGCAAACAGGAUUAGAUACCCCAGUAGUCCCUGUCUCUUAUAC
This 301-nucleotide ribosomal RNA is filed under the name uncultured bacterium. Its description in RNAcentral is "partial 16S ribosomal RNA". It matches the Rfam family "Bacterial small subunit ribosomal RNA", at positions 509 to 807 of the family's 1533-position model. The record is from RNAcentral.